RNAcentral lists this ribosomal RNA (501 nucleotides) under uncultured bacterium. RNAcentral describes it as "partial 16S ribosomal RNA". It matches the Rfam family "Bacterial small subunit ribosomal RNA", at positions 30 to 523 of the family's 1533-position model. The record is from RNAcentral.
AUUGAACGCUGGCGGCAGGCUUAACACAUGCAAGUCGAGCGGAGAUGAGGUGCUUGCACCUUAUCUUAGCGGCGGACGGGUGAGUAGUGCUUAGGAAUCUGCCUAUUUGUGGGGGACAACAUUCCGAAAGGAGUGCUAAUACCGCAUACGUCCUACGGGAGAAAGCAGGGGAUCUUCGGACCUUGCGCUAAUAGAUGAGCCUAAGUCGGAUUAGCUAGUUGGUGGGGUAAAGGCCUACCAAGGCGACGAUCUGUAGCGGGUCUGAGAGGAUGAUCCGCCACACUGGGACUGAGACACGGCCCAGACUCCUACGGGAGGCAGCAGUGGGGAAUAUUGGACAAUGGGGGGAACCCUGAUCCAGCCAUGCCGCGUGUGUGAAGAAGGCCUUAUGGUUGUAAAGCACUUUAAGCGAGGAGGAGGCUACUGAGACUAAUACUCUUGGAUAGUGGACGUUACUCGCAGAAUAAGCACCGGCUAACUCUGUGCCAGCAGCCGCCGUAA